UACAUUUCUGUACAAACUUGCGAGUACACACUAGGUUUCUCUUCAAGCAGGGGAACUUUGGGGUUGUGGAGGAGAAAGAGGCAGAUGUUACCGCUUGUCUCCUUUGUUACUCCAGUCUGUUCAGAUUCCCAUGAGAACAAGAAUCCUUCUCAUUAAACAAUCAAACGCUACCAUUAUUCGUGCAAUAGAACAUAGAACCUAUUUCAUCACCUUCCCAUAAAUGAUUUCAAUCUUUCAAAUACCUGGGACCAAUUCAGUUAAAAAGGGCACAAAUAAAAGGGCCUAAUGAAGAGUGAUCCUUCUUGUCUGCCUGAUUUUUACCAUCUUUCAAAUCACCUGGAAGAAAGAAAUAUGACAAGCAGUAUACGUAUACAGCUGAGGGGUAUGUUCCCUAGAAGACACAAACCCUUGCUGUCACUGCUGAGUGAGAGAAUUACAACUAAAAAGUGAAAGGAGGCUCUUGCAGAAGAAGAUGGAGAGACAAAUUCUCAUCAGACCACAGGACCACAGAAGACCCGCAUGACAUCCCCAAGUUUCCUCUCAUCCUUCUGCAGUGCUCCAACGAUGGGGGUCAAAUACCUCCGUCACUGUGGCACAGUACUUGGCACACAACAUACACUCAUAAAGUAUUUUCUG
Heterocephalus glaber (naked mole-rat) is the source of this 636-nucleotide long non-coding RNA. RefSeq lists it as uncharacterized. Lineage: Eukaryota; Metazoa; Chordata; Mammalia; Rodentia; Bathyergidae. The record is from RefSeq and is a predicted model, not a curated record.